GUCCUAGCUGUAAACGGUGCACGUUUGCUGUAAAGGAAUCGACCCCUUUGUGGCGUAGCUAACGCGUUAAACGUGCCGCCUGGGAAGUACGGUCGCAAGAUUAAAACUCAAAGAAUUGACGGGGCCUGCACAAGCGGUGGAGUAUGUGGCUCAAUUCGAUGCAACGCGAAGAACCUUACCUGGCCUUGACAUGCAAGUAGUAGAAGGGUGAAAGCCUGACGAGGUAGCAAUACCAGCUUGCACAGGUGCUGCAUGGCUGUCGU
RNAcentral lists this ribosomal RNA (263 nucleotides) under uncultured bacterium. RNAcentral describes it as "partial 16S ribosomal RNA". It matches the Rfam family "Bacterial small subunit ribosomal RNA", at positions 793 to 1055 of the family's 1533-position model. The record is from RNAcentral.